RNAcentral lists this ribosomal RNA (253 nucleotides) under uncultured bacterium. RNAcentral's name for it is "partial 16S ribosomal RNA". It matches the Rfam family "Bacterial small subunit ribosomal RNA", at positions 524 to 776 of the family's 1533-position model. The record is from RNAcentral.
UACGGAGGGUGCAAGCGUUAUCCGGAUUUACUGGGUUUAAAGGGUGCGUAGGCGGGUAAGUAAGUCCGUGGUGAAAUCUCUGAGCUUAACUCAGAAACUGCCGUGGAUACUAUUUGCCUUGAAUAUUGUGGAGGUGAGCGGAAUAUGUCAUGUAGCGGUGAAAUGCUUAGAUAUGACAUAGAGCACCAAUUGCGAAGGCAGCUCACUACACAAUCAUUGACGCUGAGGCACGAAAGCGUGGGGAUCAAACAGG